UUUAAACAAUUAUAACAAUCAAUUAUGUCAUUAAAAUAAUAAAAAUAUUCAUUAAAUUUUGAUAAACAAAAAUAUCCAUUAAAUGAUUAUAGCGUUGUCCUUCAAAUCUCUCAAAAUUGAUCACAUGGUACAACUAAAUCCUAGAGAAAUCUGAGGAAAUAAAGCCUUAAGGCUGCCUUCAACCAUUCAAAGUUUCACCUCAUUUACUGCAUCUCACGAAUUCUUCGUUUUUGCCCUAAUUCAUUUGAAUGAACUUACUCUUUGUUUAUUUCGAUUCCUUAUUUUUUUCUUCAAAAUUUCUGUUGAGUUUUUGCCCUAAUUUGCUCAAUCGACGGUUGUUUUUGUCCUAAUUUGCUCACAGAAGCAGCCCCAUACAAUUACCUGUCGGACAUACAACGAUCAGACCAGCUCUUUGAUUCCUUCGGUUUGCUUUCCUUCCUGUUCAAGCGAAGUAGACGACUCAAAUCGAAGGGGAAGGCCAGCUGGAGAACGGCACCCUCCUCUUCCUUUGAACCAAUCAACCACCGGUUCCUUUCCACCUUCGCACAUCACCAUCGGAGCAGGAAGAGGGCUUCACGGCUUCUUCCCACCUUCAUUUCAUCGGCCUCGUUGAUCCCGGGGACGAUCUCUUCGCGAAUUGAUCGACGGAAUGCGAUCCUUCGCACCCCCUUAUGCCGCCUCCUGCCUCGCCUUCGAUCUUGUGGUUUUCGCCAUCGGACCGCCUCGCUGCCAACGACGUCCAGAAACACGUGAGGGAGUCGCCGGAGAUUGGAGUUCUCCUCUCCUCCUCAGGAGGGACCGAACGUCACCACCAAAUCGCUGCGUUCGUGCUUCCUUUAUUUUUCCUCUCUGUGUGUUCGUCGCCUUCACUAGUUCUUCCCUAUACCCGAUCAAAACAAAAGAGACGGGGCAAUUUAGGCCCUAAUUUCUGUAAAGUUUGAACCAUUAAACAAAAAUGGUCCCUCUAUGAGAAUUCUCUUCAUAAAAACCCUAAUCCCUUUUAAAUUUCUUAAAAAAAAAAUGACAAAAUGAACCUUCAUUUGACAAAGCAUUAAGAAAUUAGUCCCAAACCCUAAAGUGUUUCAAAGUUCAAGAAUGUUUAUUUUGAGGUUAUUCACUAAAAGGCUUCAUGAAAACGAACCAGGAUCGAGAUCACGCAUCGAAUGUGAGUUCUACAGCCCUUCUUUUACUGCUUUAAUAUUUGGAAGAGAUUACAUGUGAGUAUAUUAAAGCUUUGAUGAUUGUCUUGUUUUAUUCACAUAAUAGCAUCAUACUUUAUUAUUGUUAAAAAAACUUAUUAAAUAGCAAUCUAAAAUGUAAUAAAUCAUAUAAAUUAUAGUAGAAUGCUAUAAAUGAUAUAAUUACACCUCGUUCUAUAAUGCUUUACCCAUUCGAUCCCUUCCUGCAUUUGGAGAUGGAAUAUAAACCCUUAUACCAUUGAGUGAUCCAUAUAUUCUACAACUCAGCAAAACCCAGUAGCAAUAUGUGUUUUGAUUUAUUGUAAAAAACAUAUUUAAAAAUACAAAGUGGGCUCUCAGAAAUAAAUUAUUACUUAUCCUUUUUUAAUAUUAUAAAAAAAACAUCUUUUAAACUCAAUAGCAAAGAAAAGACAAAGUUUUAGUAUACCAUGUAAACAGAUUACAUCGAUAAAUCUUAUUGGAAAAUGCUUGGGGUUGAUUAAUUUUGGUUAAUUAGCAGGUUUUUUUGGUUAACUUGUGUUGUCUGGGCAUGCCAAGAAGCAUAGUUUUUUUAAAGUAUUUGAGGAACCAUUUCUGGUUCGGAGUGGGGUGAAGUCAAGGGCCCUAAAACUGGAGGAUAGUUGUAUUUAGAGCCACUUAAAUAUUGAAGAUUUUUGUCGGCAUUAAUUUCAAUAAUUAUAUGUACCCUAGAAGAGAUAUCAUAACCAUAGUUUAUUUUAUAUAAUGUUUUUUUUUUUGUAUAUUUAUUAAAUGUUGUACAGGUGAUGUCUACAAGGUGUUGAUAUUUUUUUGUUGGCAAGUUAUUACGCUAUCUAACUCCCCCAAUAAUCUAUAAUAUUUGUAUAAGAUGAUGACAAUUAUUAUUUUUUAUUACAGCUUCUCUUCAUAUUGA
Molecule: non-coding RNA, 2091 nt
Organism: Lactuca sativa (garden lettuce)
Lineage: Eukaryota; Viridiplantae; Streptophyta; Magnoliopsida; Asterales; Asteraceae
Source: RefSeq, a predicted model, not a curated record